Long non-coding RNA from Myotis brandtii (Brandt's bat), 88 nucleotides. RefSeq lists it as uncharacterized. Lineage: Eukaryota; Metazoa; Chordata; Mammalia; Chiroptera; Vespertilionidae. The transcript is spliced from 4 exons. The record is from RefSeq and is a predicted model, not a curated record.
CCCCACCCUCAGGCCUUCAAAGCACUGUUGUUUGUGUCUAUGGGUUAUGCAUCUAUGCAUAUAAAUUCUUUGGCUCAUCUCCCCCAAC